Molecule: ribosomal RNA, 421 nt
Filed under: uncultured bacterium
Lineage: Bacteria
Description: bacterial SSU rRNA
Rfam family: Bacterial small subunit ribosomal RNA
Source: RNAcentral
UAAGGAAUAUUGGUCAAUGGACGCAAGUCUGAACCAGCCAUGCCGCGUGAAGGAUGAAGGUCCUCUGGAUUGUAAACUUCUUUUAUCUGGGACGAACACGGGAUUUUUAUCUCAAUUGACGGUACCAGAGGAAUAAGCACCGGCUAACUCCGUGCCAGCAGCCGCGGUAAUACGGAGGGUGCGAGCGUUAUCCGGAUUUACUGGGUUUAAAGGGUGCGUAGGUGGGCUUAUAAGUCAGUGGUGAAAUCUCCGAGCUUAACUUGGAAACUGCCGUUGAUACUAUAGGUCUUUAAUUAUCUGGAGGUAAGCGGAAUAUGUCAUGUAGCGGUUAAAUGCUUAGAUAUGACAUAGAACACCAAUUGCGAAGGCAGCUUACUACAUAUAAAUUGACGCUGAGGCACGAAAGCGUGGGGAUCAAACA